RNAcentral lists this ribosomal RNA (254 nucleotides) under uncultured bacterium. Its description in RNAcentral is "partial 16S ribosomal RNA". It matches the Rfam family "Bacterial small subunit ribosomal RNA", at positions 524 to 776 of the family's 1533-position model. The record is from RNAcentral.
CACGUAGGGGGCGAGCGUUGUCCGGAAUCAUUGGGCGUAAAGAGCUCGUAGGCGGCUCGGUAAGUCGGGUGUGAAACCCCCAGGCUCAACCUGGGGACGCCACCCGAUACUGCUGUGGCUAGAGUCCAGUAGGGGAGUGUGGAAUUCCCGGUGUAGCGGUGAAAUGCGCAGAUAUCAGGAGGAACACCAAUAGCGAAGGCAGCUCGCUGGGACGGUACUGACGCUGAGGUGCGAAAGCGUGGGGAGCAAACAGG